AGUGAACGCUGGCGGUAGGCCUAACACAUGCAAGUCGAACGGCAGCACAGUAAGAGCUUGCUCUUACGGGUGGCGAGUGGCGGACGGGUGAGGAAUACAUCGGAAUCUACUUUUUCGUGGGGGAUAACGUAGGGAAACUUACGCUAAUACCGCAUACGACCUACGGGUGAAAGCAGGGGAUCUUCGGACCUUGCGCGAUUGAAUGAGCCGAUGUCGGAUUAGCUAGUUGGCGGGGUAAAGGCCCACCAAGGCGACGAUCCGUAGCUGGUCUGAGAGGAUGAUCGGCAAAAUUGAAAUUGGGACCGGUCCAAACCCCUAAGGGGGGGCGGCGUGGGGAAUAUUGGAACAAGGGGGGAAGGCUGAACCAGGCAUACCGCGUGGGUGAAAGAGGGCUUCGGGUUGGUAAGCCCUUUUGUUGGGAAAGAAAAGCAGCAGGUUAAUACCCCGCUGUUCUGACGGUACCCAAAGAAUAAGCACCGGCUAACUUCGUG
Molecule: ribosomal RNA, 491 nt
Filed under: uncultured bacterium
Lineage: Bacteria
Description: partial 16S ribosomal RNA
Rfam family: Bacterial small subunit ribosomal RNA
Source: RNAcentral